RNAcentral lists this ribosomal RNA (216 nucleotides) under Glomeromycotina sp. RNAcentral's name for it is "partial small subunit ribosomal RNA". The stretch from base 40 to 216 matches the Rfam family "Eukaryotic small subunit ribosomal RNA", at positions 686 to 864 of the family's 1831-position model. Lineage: Eukaryota; Fungi; Glomeromycota. The record is from RNAcentral.
GGGUCAGUAGGUUGGUCGUGCCACCGGUACGUACUGGUCUCACUGAUUCCUCCUUCCUGAAGAACCGUAAUGCCAUUAAUUUGGUGUUGCGGGGAAACAGGACUGUUACUUUGAAAAAAUUAGAGUGUUUAAGGCAAGCUAACGCUUGAAUACAUUAGCAUGGAAUAAUGAAAUAGGACGAUCGAUCCUAUUUUGUUGGUUUCUAGGAUUGACGUA